Molecule: non-coding RNA, 22 nt
Filed under: Mus musculus (house mouse)
Lineage: Eukaryota; Metazoa; Chordata; Mammalia; Rodentia; Muridae
Source: RNAcentral
UACGUGAUCGGCCCACGUCCAA